Molecule: ribosomal RNA, 906 nt
Filed under: Triticum aestivum (bread wheat)
Lineage: Eukaryota; Viridiplantae; Streptophyta; Magnoliopsida; Poales; Poaceae
Description: partial small subunit ribosomal RNA
Source: RNAcentral
AUGCCGACAAGCACACCUUUGCACACCAGCAGAAGCAACACUCAAGCAGAUGAAACAGCCGCCAAUACUGAAGUAAAUGAUGAAGCACAAGGGGAUGAAGAAGAUGGGCAAUCAGAAAUCAUGGUACCUCAGCCACCAUAUGUUGGGCAGAGAUUUGAUUUGUUUGCAGAUGCCAAGGAAUUCUACCAAACAUAUGCAAUGUUCCAUGGGUUUGCGGUGAACACCGAAUACCAUAGGAAAAUUAAAAAAACUAACGAGUACAGCAAAGGUGAGACAAGGUGGUACAAGGCACAAAGGAACAAGAAGGGGAAAGGUGUUGCCUCUGUCGUGCCGGAACGAAAGAGAGGUAUCAUUGUCAAGACAGAAUGCCAUGUCCGGUGCAAGCUAAACGCAGAUGGAGCACAGUGGGUGGUCACCGACUAUUUAGACGAACACAACCACAAACUCAUAAAGAAGUUUGAUUUGGUAAAAUUUCUGAGCGCCCACAGAGGAUUCAGCCCCCUCGAGAAGAAAUUCGUAAAGUUGCUACAUGAUUGUAAUGUCGGUCCGUCAAGAAUGGUCAAAAUGCUGUCCCUGAUCCACAGCGGAGAUGGUAGGGAGAGUAGCAUGCCCUACAUACCAUCAGACAUCACAAACCUAAAGGCAAAGCACCGUAGAGAGAGCAGGUUGGCUCACAUAGAAGCCACGAUAGCCUACUUUGAAGAGAAAGCAAAAGCAUAUGCUGAUUUCUUCUACAAGAUAACAUUGGACGAUGAGGACCGUGUCAGAAAUAUGUAUUGGGUGGAUGUUGCUGCAAGAAGGGCCUACAAACAUUUCCGUGAUUGCAUAUCAUUCGACGCGCCAUAUCUCACUAAUAUGUACAAGAUGCCCUGCGCUCCAUUCAUAGGAAUAAAUAACCACAAUUAG